GAUGAACGCUGGCGGCGUGCCUAAUACAUGCAAGUCGAGCGAACGGACGAGAAGCUUGCUUCUCUGAUGUUAGCGGCGGACGGGUGAGUAACACGUGGAUAACCUACCUAUAAGACUGGGAUAACUUCGGGAAACCGGAGCUAAUACCGGAUAAUAUUUUGAACCGCAUGGUUCAAAAGUGAAAGACGGUCUUGCUGUCACUUAUAGAUGGAUCCGCGCUGCAUUAGCUAGUUGGUAAGGUAACGGCUUACCAAGGCAACGAUGCAUAGCCGACCUGAGAGGGUGAUCCGCCACACUGGAACUGCGACACGGUCCAGACUCCUACGGGAGGCAGCAGUAGGGAAUCUUCCGCAAUGGGCGCAAGCCUGACGGAGCAACGCCGCGUGAGUGAUGAAGGUCUUCGGAUCGUAAAACUCUGUUAUUAGGGAAGAACAUAUGUGUAAGUAACUGUGCACAUCUUGACGGUACCUAAUCAGAAAGCCACGGCUAACUACGUG
Molecule: ribosomal RNA, 497 nt
Filed under: uncultured bacterium
Lineage: Bacteria
Description: partial 16S ribosomal RNA
Rfam family: Bacterial small subunit ribosomal RNA
Source: RNAcentral